This 349-nucleotide ribosomal RNA is filed under the name uncultured bacterium. RNAcentral describes it as "bacterial SSU rRNA". It matches the Rfam family "Bacterial small subunit ribosomal RNA", at positions 28 to 334 of the family's 1533-position model. The record is from RNAcentral.
GAUGAAUGCUGGCGGCGUGCCUAAUACAUGCAAGUCGAACGGUAACAGGGUCUCACUGUUCUCUUGACUCUCUUGGCCUAUUGGUAAGAGUUAUAGAUUCGAGGGAACUGUGAGAUUGCUGACGAGUGGCGGACGGCUGAGUAACGCGUGGGCACAUACCCUAAACUGAGGGAUAACUAGUCGAAAGAUUAGCUAAUACCGCAUAUUAUCUACGGAUCAAAGUCUUCGGACGGUUUAGGAAUGGCCUGCGUACGAUUAGAUAGUUGGUGAGGUAAAGGCUCACCAAGUCGACGAUCGUUAGAUGGUUUGAGAGGAUGAUCAUCCAGACUGGGACUGAGACACGGCCCAG